GACGAACCUUGCUAACGUUAUUCGGAAUUACUGGGCUUAAAGGGUGCGUAGGCGGUGCGGAAAGUCGGGUGUGAAAUCCCCCAGCUCAACUGGGGAAUUGCGCCUGAAACUACCGUGCUCGAGGAAGACAGAGGUACGCGGAACUUAGGGUGGAGCGGUGAAAUGCGUAGAUAUCUGGAGGAAUACCGGUGGCGAAGGCGGCAUCCUGGACCGGCAUUGACGCUGAGGAGCGAAAGCCAGGGGAGCAAACGGG
This 253-nucleotide ribosomal RNA is filed under the name uncultured bacterium. RNAcentral describes it as "partial 16S ribosomal RNA". It matches the Rfam family "Bacterial small subunit ribosomal RNA", at positions 524 to 776 of the family's 1533-position model. The record is from RNAcentral.